RNAcentral lists this long non-coding RNA (401 nucleotides) under Zalophus californianus (California sea lion). RNAcentral describes it as "lncRNA (ENSZCAG00015007274.1)". The record is from RNAcentral. Lineage: Eukaryota; Metazoa; Chordata; Mammalia; Carnivora; Otariidae.
CUUAACUAACAACUCUUUCUUCAAGAAAAGGUUAGGAACCUUACAACUCUCUUUGCUGCUAUUUUCAUCACUUUUUUCUUUUACUUUUGCUUAACAGGAACCCAUUACUCAUGCUUUUGAAGAUUUUCCAUCACAGUACUAGUGGAGAAGAGUGAACAUGUCCUUCCCAGGAGCCUGAAAUAGUACCUGAAGUGCCCAAUCUAGAACAUGUCUGCUAGAAACUUGGACUUCCACAAAGAUCUCUCAUUUGUGGGUGAUUGUUUAAGAGUGUGUUCUCCAGCUGCUCCCAGGCCACAUCCAAGAGAGGCAGAGACUGGAGCAGUUUCAUGGUCCACUUCAGGGUCCACAGUUGGAACCAAGGAGAUUCUGGAUGCUGGGCUGAUGACAAAAGUGGAUGACUG